AGUAAAUUAUCUGAAAGAGAAGUUAUUUGGCAUGAUGGAAUUGUAAUGAUUUGAUUGCCUAAACAUUGCAGAUGUAAAAUGUUAAAUACUGUUCUGUAUUAAAAGCUCAGCGUAAGUGUUUGAUUAACUUGCUUUGCUUUUGUUUUGUAUAAAGGAAAAGCAGAACCUAAUCCAAAUAAAAAUAAACAAGCUGUUAAAAGGACUGUGUCCUACCCAGAUCCUCCUCCAAAAUAUAACCAUUCAAAACCCAAGCCAGUUGAAGGUGGUCAACACAAACCAAAUGAAGAUGAUGCACAUUCUACAAACAAUAAAAAAGAAGGGCAAACUGUAGAUAUGAAUUGUGUAGAUAUGGCUUAAACAGUCUACACAUUUGUUAACUUUCUAAUUUGUCAUAUGUCCUUGUUUGUGCUAAAGAUCAAGUUUUGUGUCAAACACACUUGGAUGAGACGUGCCCGACCCCUGACUUUGUCUACCCUAAAUUAAGUUGCACACUUCAUGACAGUAAACAUCGGUGUCAAGAUGGUGUGAUUGAUCUCUAUACCCUAGAAUAAGCUGUGACACUAUGAGACGGUCACAUAAUGAACAGCCAUCUUCCAGACAACCGAAAGAGGCAUAGUAUUGUUUUGUUUUUUGUCUAUUGUUCUACACCUAAAGAUGAUUUUUUUGUAAUCGUACAGUUAUGGUGUUAUUCAAUCAUUAAUGUGUCCUUUCUUACCUUAAAUAACUUGUAAUUUUUCACACCUUUUGUUUUUAAUGUCUAUGUAGUAUUGUCCACAAUCCCAAAUUCUGGAUUGACGCCCAGUACCAGACGGCACCCCAAUCCCAGAGAGCAUCCCACUGUAUGUGAGAACAUUACAGUUGCAUCUUAUUUUAAGCAGAUUAUAUUAGGGAUGCACAAUAUAUCGCAUGUGAUUGUCAGUGAAGCCGGUUCCGUGAGUAAACUACGGCUUUGUGUAGUAAAUGCCGCUCCAUCUGAAAGCAGGUGAUGGCGAUUUACUACCAAUCAAGGAAACGGCUUUACUGAUGAGAUGCACAUGAUAUCGCAUGCGAUUUAUUAUGCAUGACUAGAUUCUACAUUUAGUGACAACACAGUUUAGAGUAUAAACAUGUACAUUUCUCUGAAUCUGAGUUAUUAGUUACAAAUACAGAGCAUAUAAUGUCUAUCAUUGCUCAACCACAAAGACCUAAAAGUACAGCCAGCUGAUUUUUAUAACUAAUGCAGUAUUACACUAUGAAGUUAUUUACUGUUAAAAUUUUACACUACCAUAUAAUUAACUAUAUUUGUCCAGGUGAGGUUACACACAAGAAAAAUUAACAGGAUGAAGACUACCUGAUUCUUCACCUAUGGCCUCAGCUUCAAAUGCAAGAAGUCCAGCAACUGUCUGAGCUGGUGGAUAUUCUGUCAGAGACUGUGUGAACAACGUUAUGAACAGAAUGAUGUCAAAUUGUCUUAUGGCAAACUUCAAUAUGAGGGGUGAUGGACAUCUGGAAAAGUUGUCUUUUAACACCUUGGUAUUAUGUAAUUCAAGAUGCUGUGAAGAGGUGGAGCCCAAAUGCCACAGACUUGGAAAUAGAUGCAGCUAUGGCAGACCACCUUAAGCACGCUCUAGGAAGAGCUGGGGGUGGUGAAUACAAAAAAUAAGCCAAACAGCGUAAAAGAGUUCACCCAAAAAUGAAAAUUAUUUUCUUCUUACCCACAUGUUUCAAACCUGUAUACCUUUCUAUUUUCUGCUGAACACAAAGAUUGAAGAAUGUUUGUAACCAAGCAGAUCUCACAACCCAUUAACUGUCAUAAUUUUUUUUACAAUUGUGAGAUCUGCUUUGUUACAAACAUUCUUUCAAAUAUCUUUAUAUCUUCAAAUAUCAGGUUUGAAACAUGAAAGAGAGUAAAUGACUAAAUAUACAUUUUUGGGUGAACUCUAUCCCUUUAUAUAAAAGUAUUUUGAAAUUGUUAUGG
Molecule: non-coding RNA, 1957 nt
Organism: Misgurnus anguillicaudatus (oriental weatherfish)
Lineage: Eukaryota; Metazoa; Chordata; Actinopteri; Cypriniformes; Cobitidae
Source: RefSeq, a predicted model, not a curated record